CCUACGUGAGGCUGCAGUGGGGAAUAUUGCACAAUGGGGGAAACCCUGAUGCAGCGACGCCGCGUGAGUGAAGAAGUAUCUCGGUACGUAAAGCUCUAUCAGCAGGGACGAAAAUGACGGUAUCUGACUAAGAAGCCCCCGCUAACUACGUGCCAGCAGCCGCGGUAAUACGUAGGGGGUCAGCGUUAUUCGGAUUUACUGGGUGGAAAAGGAGAGUAGACGGCAGAGCAAGUCUGAAGUGAUAUCCCGGGGCUUAACCCAGGAACUGCUUUGGAAACUGUGCGGCUGGAGGGCAGUAGGGGGAAGCGGAAUUGCUAGUGUAGCGGUGAAAUGCGUAGAUAUUAGGAGGAACACCGGUGGCGAAGGCGGCUUACUGGACUGUAACUGACGUUGAGGCUCGAAAGCGUGGGGAGCAAACAGGAUUAGAUACCCGGGUAGUC
Molecule: ribosomal RNA, 440 nt
Filed under: uncultured bacterium
Lineage: Bacteria
Description: partial 16S ribosomal RNA
Rfam family: Bacterial small subunit ribosomal RNA
Source: RNAcentral